GACGAACGUUGGCGGCGUGCCUAAUACAUGCAAGUAGAACGCUGAAGAGAGGAGCUUGCUCUUCUUGGAUGAGUUGCGAACGGGUGAGUAACGCGUAGGUAACCUGCCUUGUAGCGGGGGAUAACUAUUGGAAACGAUAGCUAAUACCGCAUAACAAUGGAUGACCCAUGUCAUUUAUUUGAGAGGGGCAAAUGCUCCACUACAAGAUGGACCUGCGUUGUAUUAGCUAGUAGGUGAGGUAACGGCUCACCUAGGCGACGAUACAUAGCCGACCUGAGAGGGUGAUCGGCCACACUGGGACUGAGACACGGCCCAGACUCCUACGGGAGGCAGCAGUAGGGAAUCUUCGGCAAUGGGGGCAACCCUGACCGAGCAACGCCGCGUGAGUGAAGAAGGUUUUCGGAUCGUAAAGCUCUGUUGUAAGUCAAGAACGAGUGUGAGAGUGGAAAGUUCACACUGUGACGGUAGCUUACCAGAAAGGGACGGCUAACUACGUGCCAGCAGCCGCGGUAAUACGUAGGUCCCGAGCGUUGUCCGGAUUUAUUGGGCGUAAAGCGAGCGCAGGCGGUUUGAUAAGUCUGAAGUUAAAGGCUGUGGCUCAACCAUAGUUCGCUUUGGAAACUGUCAAACUUGAGUGCAGAAGGGGAGAGUGGAAUUCCAUGUGUAGCGGUGAAAUGCGUAGAUAUAUGGAGGAACACCGGUGGCGAAAGCGGCUCUCUGGUCUGUAACUGACGCUGAGGCUCGAAAGCGUGGGGAGCGAACAGGAUUAGAUACCCUGGUAGUCCACGCCGUAAACGAUGAGUGCUAGGUGUUGGAUCCUUUCCGGGAUUCAGUGCCGCAGCUAACGCAUUAAGCACUCCGCCUGGGGAGUACGACCGCAAGGUUGAAACUCAAAGGAAUUGACGGGGGCCCGCACAAGCGGUGGAGCAUGUGGUUUAAUUCGAAGCAACGCGAAGAACCUUACCAGGUCUUGACAUCCCGAUGCUAUUUCUAGAGAUAGAAAGUUACUUCGGUACAUCGGUGACAGGUGGUGCAUGGUUGUCGUCAGCUCGUGUCGUGAGAUGUUGGGUUAAGUCCCGCAACGAGCGCAACCCCUAUUGUUAGUUGCCAUCAUUCAGUUGGGCACUCUAGCGAGACUGCCGGUAAUAAACCGGAGGAAGGUGGGGAUGACGUCAAAUCAUCAUGCCCCUUAUGACCUGGGCUACACACGUGCUACAAUGGUUGGUACAACGAGUUGCGAGUCGGUGACGGCAAGCUAAUCUCUUAAAGCCAAUCUCAGUUCGGAUUGUAGGCUGCAACUCGCCUACAUGAAGUCGGAAUCGCUAGUAAUCGCGGAUCAGCACGCCGCGGUGAAUACGUUCCCGGGCCU
This 1369-nucleotide ribosomal RNA is filed under the name uncultured bacterium. Its description in RNAcentral is "bacterial SSU rRNA". It matches the Rfam family "Bacterial small subunit ribosomal RNA", at positions 28 to 1381 of the family's 1533-position model. The record is from RNAcentral.